Long non-coding RNA from Peromyscus eremicus (cactus mouse), 479 nucleotides. RefSeq lists it as uncharacterized. The transcript has 3 exons. The record is from RefSeq and is a predicted model, not a curated record. NCBI's taxonomy places the organism in Eukaryota, Metazoa, Chordata, Mammalia, Rodentia, Cricetidae.
AGACAGAAAGUACAUUAGUGGUUGCCCUGGGGAUGGGGUCAUGGGGAACAGAAAGGAAGGGAUGGGCUCUGAACAGCAUGAAGAUACUUCUGGGAGUAGACAGGUUUAUUUUCUUGAGAGAGUAAUGGUUUCAGUGUCAAACUUUUGAAGUUGUGGACCUUAAAAAUGUCUGGAAUACAUCUAUUAAAGAGAAGCUAGCUCCCAUCCCCUUCGGUCAUUGUCGUUUGACUUAAUUUUUCUCCUUUACCUCUUCCAUCUUCACUGGAAUGGUGAUCUUUUCUUUAAAGACAGGAACAGAAUAAAAAGAGCUGCCCCCCCAAGCAAGAGGGAAUUGUUGGGGAGACUACCUUCAGACUUGAUGGACACCAUUGGCUCUCCAGACCUCCACCCGCUGGCUCACUCUUCAGAAUUUGGACUUGCCAGCCCUCAUAUGCAUAUGAGGCAAAUCUCUAUAAUAAAUUUCUUACUACAUACAUACA